This 868-nucleotide ribosomal RNA is filed under the name uncultured Caminicella sp. RNAcentral describes it as "bacterial SSU rRNA". It matches the Rfam family "Bacterial small subunit ribosomal RNA", at positions 52 to 918 of the family's 1533-position model. Lineage: Bacteria; Bacillati; Bacillota; Clostridia; Peptostreptococcales; Caminicellaceae. The record is from RNAcentral.
UACCNUGCAGUCGAGCGGACCAAUGCUCAUUUCAGCUUUACUGAUUUGAGCAUUGGUUAGCGGCGGACGGGUGAGUAACGCGUGGGCAACCUGCCCUGUGCAGGGGGAUAACACAGCGAAAGCUGUGCUAAUACCCCAUAAGACUACGCUAUCGCAUGAUAGAGUAGUCAAAGCUUUAGCGGCACAGGAUGGGCCCGCGUCUGAUUAGCUAGUUGGUGGGGUAACGGCCUACCAAGGCGACGAUCAGUAGCCGACCUGAGAGGGUGAUCGGCCACACUGGAACUGAGACACGGUCCAGACUCCUACGGGAGGCAGCAGUGGGGAAUAUUGCACAAUGGGGGAAACCCUGAUGCAGCAACGCCGCGUGAGCGGAGAAGGCCUUCGGGUCGUAAAGCUCUGUCCUAAGGGAAGAAGUAUGACGGUACCUUAGGAGGAAGCCCCGGCUAACUACGUGCCAGCAGCCGCGGUAAUACGUAGGGGGCGAGCGUUAUCCGGAAUCACUGGGCGUAAAGGGUGCGUAGGCGGCCGAGUAAGCCAGAGGUGAAAGGCUACGGCUUAACCGUAGUAAGCCUUUGGAACUACUUGGCUUGAGUGCAGGGAGAGGAGAGUGGAAUUCCUAGUGUAGCGGUGAAAUGCGUAGAUAUUAGGAGGAACACCAGUGGCGAAGGCGACUCUCUGGGACUGUAACUGACGCUGAGGCACGAAAAGCGUGGGGGAGCAAACAGGAUUAGAUACCCUGGUAGUCCACGCCGUAAACGAUGAGUGCUAGGUGUCGGGGGUUCACACCCUCGGUGCCGGAAUUAACNCAAUAAGCACUCCGCCCUGGGGAGUACGGUCGCAAGACUGAAACUCAAAGGAAUUGACGGGG